This 301-nucleotide ribosomal RNA is filed under the name uncultured bacterium. RNAcentral describes it as "partial 16S ribosomal RNA". It matches the Rfam family "Bacterial small subunit ribosomal RNA", at positions 509 to 807 of the family's 1533-position model. The record is from RNAcentral.
CAGUCGCCGCGGUAAUACAGAGGGUGCGAGCGUUAAUCGGAUUUACUGGGCGUAAAGCGUGCGUAGGCGGCUUUUUAAGUCGGAUGUGAAAUCCCUGAGCUUAACUUAGGAAUUGCAUUCGAUACUGGGAAGCUAGAGUAUGGGAGAGGAUGGUAGAAUUCCAGGUGUAGCGGUGAAAUGCGUAGAGAUCUGGAGGAAUACCGAUGGCGAAGGCAGCCAUCUGGCCUAAUACUGACGCUGAGGUACGAAAGCGUGGGGAGCAAACAGGAUUAGAUACCCCGGUAGUCCCUGUCUCUUAUAC